Molecule: long non-coding RNA, 2034 nt
Organism: Pteronotus mesoamericanus
Lineage: Eukaryota; Metazoa; Chordata; Mammalia; Chiroptera; Mormoopidae
Exons: 4
Source: RefSeq, a predicted model, not a curated record
GCAAGUCCCAACCAUCCGCCCAGGAAGCGCCGCCACCCGGGCUCAGGGGGGGCGGAGGGAGGCGAGGCGGGGGGCCACCGCCGAGGGGGGGGUUCUUGCCCCCACUUUGCACCUCACACUCCUUUCCCCGCCCUGGGGCACGGGCACAAACUCUGCCUAAAGCCGACCAGGCCGAGCUGUUGAGGAAUGCUGGGGUUUGGCGUCAGAAGUGAUGGGACCAGAGAGAAGGGUGUGAAGGAGACCCCAGUAGGGACAGGGUAUUGCAGGUAAAGAAGGGGAAGAGGAGGCCGAGAAGUCAAGGGCGAGGCUGUGAAGGAGAUAAAGGAGGUCAAAGAGAGGUCAUAUCUUCGUACCUCACUUCCUGACACAAACAAGUUUUCACUGUUGUCAGCAACAAAGCCCUAAUAUAGCUGCGGAAGAGAAAAACUGCAUCGCAUUUUGCCUCCUGCAAGCAUCAUCCACAGUUACCAGAGGAAUGUAAUUCCAGAAAGCUUUAAAGCUGGUGGUGAUGGUAAUUAUGUAUCAGAUGCCUGAUUCUAUUUCUGUUAUUAUUGUUUUGUCAUUUCUGUUCUUCAACCCAAGAGCCGGCUAAACUUACGCAGGUACAAAUCCGGCUUUUCUUUUUGAUUUGGUAACAUUUAAUCAGAUCUAAUAGAGAACUCAGUGCUCUUGUGGAAAAUAAAGUCGGAGCCACGAAAUGUCAUUUUAGCAGAGCGUGGGUUUUGUGACUGUAGAAAAGGAUUUGAGGACGCUCCUUCUGUUCGGUUUCCUAUGUAACGAGCGAAGGCUGCACGCACGCACAGACGCCACAGCUCCCGGAUGCCCUGGCUGCCGGAUCGGGACCUCGGCGGCGCCAGCAGCAGCUCCGGGAUGCUGCGAGGGGCUCGCGGUGGGCGGCGGUACAAACGCCGCGUCCUCCGCCGCCAGUCCUGCUGCUGUUGUUGCCGCUGCUGCUGCAGUCACGUGGGAGUCCCUUUAAGUUUCCAUAGAGAAGCCUCUCCGGUGUCACAUGAUGGACAUGAUAUAAUGAAACAACGUUGUGGAGAGGAAAGCAUUAGGGGAGCCCACGGCUACGAAAACAAGUGAGUGAGAAGAGGUGGGAGGAAGAGAAACUACGCCACCUCCCCUGCAGCCGAGCCGCUCGCAGCAGCAGCCCGCGAGAAGGGGGCGACGCCACGGGAGGGGGGCGCUGGGGGAGCGGGUCCUCAGCCCCGGCCCGGGGACCCCGGCGCCCUCCGCGGAGAGAACAACUUUUAGCCGGCAGCCUCGGCCGGCACUGCACCUGUCUCCGGAGGCGUCCUCGCUCCCGGCGAUAACCAAAGGGAAAUUCUAGAAGAACAUGCUCUACAAAUGUACAUGCGCAUCGUUUUCCCUCUUGCGUUUCGCUCUGGAGGCAGGAAAGAGAAAGGGAUUUAAGCGGCAGCGUAUGUUCAGCCCCAAAGUUGGGGAAAUGGAAGCUCCCGAAGUUAAAAUUGGUCAAUGACGAUCUCUGACUAGUACCCAGUUUCUGGCCUCUUAGUCCUCUUUGAACGCUCUCAAAACACCUUCGGUGUGAACCUUUCUGGUGGGGGAGACAAGCCCGCAAACCAAAAACAGACUAUCGAAUGUGUUCCAUAAAUGACCGCCAUUGCCCUCAAAACUGAACCAAAACACAACCGUAAGAAGACAAAACCCACCACUGCUAACAGCAACAAAAGUUAACCUGACAACCAAACAACAAAAAAAAAAAGCCUGUGAGGUUUGAAUUACUGCUUUUGUAGAGAGGUCAGUAAUGUGACGUCUCUUUUUAGAUAUUAAAUGUAAAUUACUCAUGACAAAUUUAUACCUGCCUACCUGACUUUAUAGCAGUGAUAGAAGAAUCCAUACUGCAGUAUAAAUCUAUUCGGCCUAGAAGAUCUUACUGGACUGCUUGGGUUUCGAUAUAUGAUUUAAGAAUCAUUUUGAAAGUGUGUUGGGAACUUUCUAGUGACCCUGGUCACUAACUUGACAAAAGAAUUGAAGGAAGUUACUGGCUUCAUAUCUUUUUUUCAGUGG